RNAcentral lists this ribosomal RNA (393 nucleotides) under uncultured bacterium. RNAcentral describes it as "partial 16S ribosomal RNA". It matches the Rfam family "Bacterial small subunit ribosomal RNA", at positions 523 to 918 of the family's 1533-position model. The record is from RNAcentral.
AUACGGAGGAUGCAAGCGUUAUCCGGAUUUAUUGGGUUUAAAGGGUGCGUAGGCGGGACUGUAAGUCAGGGGUGAAAUACUGCAGCUUAACUGUAGCAUUGCCUUUGAAACUGCCGUUCUUGAGUACAGUUGAGGUAGGCGGAAUGUGGUGUGUAGCGGUGAAAUGCAUAGAUAUACCACAGAACGCCGAUUGCGAAGGCAGCUUACUAAGCUGUUACUGACGCUGAGGCACGAAAGCGUGGGGAUCAAACAGGAUUAGAUACCCUGGUAGUCCACGCAGUAAACGAUGAUGACUAACCGUCGGCGAUAGACCGCCGGUGGCCAAGCGAAAGCGUUAAGUAAUCCACCUGGGGAGUACGCCGGCAACGGUGAAACUCAAAUGAAUUGGCGGGG